UACAUUUAACUAGUCUUUGUUUGUUACCUAUUAAAAAAAAACUAGUCUUCGUUUGUCUUAAUUGCUCCCCUUAUAGUACAUGUGAAAACCUUUAUGUGGCCAUGCCAACCUUGUGCAGUGCCAUCUGUGUUCCUGCAUGUGCUUAAUUUUUCUUUUUUCACUGAUGUCUCAGGGCUUGCCAUUUUUCAUAUCAUCUUUGUUGCUGAUAAGUUUUGAACCAACAAAUGGGUUGAAUUUUCUCUAGGUAUUUCACACCUUAGUUCCAUUUGGCUUUUGAUGAUAUAGAGCUUCUUGAGAAGAUUGGCAUCAUGGAGUGAUAAAAAGGAUAUUGUCUCAAAGAGUGUGAGUUGAUUUUGAUCAUGGAGAUAUCCCAACUUAAACAUUCCUAGGGUAAUUUCUUUGAGAAGGAGCCAAGUGACUAUGUUUUUUUCUGAACUUCUUGGAAGUAAAUGCGGAGACUUGAGAGCAACAAAAUAAUUUUCAGAGAUCAGUAGUUGCUGUUAUCAUGUAUCAGGUUCAAGGUAAAUCUAGAAAAAGUUAGGAGCAUGAAUGAUUCUUUGUGGUACGUGUGUGUUUUGUUUUUCUUCCUUUGAUGAAUUUUAUAUAAUCAACUGGCCUGUGAGGAGAUUCUGCAGGGCUUAGUAUUGAGAAAUCCAAGUAAGUGUGAGUUUUGUGGGGACUUAGUGUUUUUAUGUGCAGAUGUUCCAUGUGGGUGGUCUAGGUCUUCUUUGAGGUGGUGAAAGGCAAAGUAGUCUUAGCUGCAGAGGUCAGAUGGUAGCAUUCUUGUUGCUCAGUUGAGCAAAAUAUUGGAAAGUGGAUGAACAACAAAUGUGUUGUGUCCAAGAUGGAUGUGGAGGGUGUGAGCCUUUCUCUUGUCAGUUUGGAGUUAAUUUUCUAUCUUGAUUUGUUGUUGUUUGGUUUAUGCUGAAGUGUGUUGUUGCCUUGCCAGAGGCAAUAGUAUUGUGAGAAUCCAACUCUUCUUUAGUAUUUGGGAGGAGAAAAUUAACAAA
Molecule: long non-coding RNA, 1010 nt
Organism: Vitis vinifera (wine grape)
Lineage: Eukaryota; Viridiplantae; Streptophyta; Magnoliopsida; Vitales; Vitaceae
Exons: 2
Source: RefSeq, a predicted model, not a curated record